This 253-nucleotide ribosomal RNA is filed under the name uncultured bacterium. RNAcentral's name for it is "partial 16S ribosomal RNA". It matches the Rfam family "Bacterial small subunit ribosomal RNA", at positions 524 to 776 of the family's 1533-position model. The record is from RNAcentral.
UACGGGGGGGGCAAGCGUUGUUCGGAAUUACUGGGCGUAAAGGGCUCGUAGGUGGCCAACUAAGUCAGACGUGAAAUCCCUCGGCUUAACCGGGGAACUGCAUCUGAUACUGGAUGGCUUGAGAUUGGGAGAGGGAUGCGGAAUUCCAGGUGUAGCGGUGAAAUGCGUAGAGAUCCGGAGGAACACCAGUGGCGAAGGCGACACGCUGGGCCGUACCUGACGCUAAGACGCGACAGCAUGGGGAGCGAACGGG